Molecule: ribosomal RNA, 331 nt
Filed under: uncultured microorganism
Description: bacterial SSU rRNA
Rfam family: Bacterial small subunit ribosomal RNA
Source: RNAcentral
GAGUUUGAUCGUGGCUCAGGAUGAACGUUAGCGGCGUGCCUAACACAUGCAAGUCGAACGAACAGCCAGAAUCUUAGGAAUCUGGCGGGUUAGUGGCGCACGGGUGAGUAACACGUAGGUGACCUGCCCCGAAGUGGGGGACAACCACUGGAAACAGUGGCUAAUACCGCAUGUGCUUAGCCAUUCGGUUGGUUAAGUAAAGCUGAGGCGCUUCGGGAGGGGCCUGCGGUCGAUUAGCUAGUUGGUGAGGUAAUGGCUCACCAAGGCGAUGAUCGAUAGGGGGCGUGAGAGCGUGACCCCCACCACUGGGACGUGAGACACCGGCCCGACG